AUUGAACGCUGGCGGCAUGCCUUACACAUGCAAGUCGAACGGCAGCGGGCCUUCGGGUGCCGGCGAGUGGCGAACGGGUGAGUAAUGCAUCGGAACGUGCCAUUGAGUGGGGGAUAACGUAGCGAAAGUUGCGCUAAUACCGCAUAUUCUGUGAGCAGGAAAGCAGGGGACCGCAAGACCUUGCGCUCUUUGAGCGGCCGAUGUCAGAUUAGCUAGUUGGUGAGGUAAAGGCUUACCAAGGCGACGAUCUGUAGCGGGUCUGAGAGGAUGAUCCGCCACACUGGAACUGAGACACGGUCCAGACUCCUACGGGAGGCAGCAGUGGGGAAUUUUGGACAAUGGGGGCAACCCUGAUCCAGCCAUGCCGCGUGAGUGAAGAAGGCCUCGG
Molecule: ribosomal RNA, 388 nt
Filed under: uncultured bacterium
Lineage: Bacteria
Description: bacterial SSU rRNA
Rfam family: Bacterial small subunit ribosomal RNA
Source: RNAcentral